Molecule: long non-coding RNA, 1200 nt
Filed under: Monodelphis domestica (gray short-tailed opossum)
Lineage: Eukaryota; Metazoa; Chordata; Mammalia; Didelphimorphia; Didelphidae
Description: lncRNA (ENSMODG00000038130.1)
Source: RNAcentral
UGACUGCGGUGGGCUGCGGCUGUGGGCGGGAGGAGAGGGGGGGGGGAACCCGCCCGCCCGCCGGCGCGCUGCCCUUGACUUGGGACUGUGCAGCCUGAUUAGGCCUCUUGCUCCUGGCCUCACCCAGUGGCAUCUUGGCCCCUCAGAUGUUCCAAGGGCACGUUUUGGCCGAUUGGAGGUUAGGGGGCUGGGGUUUUUGAUUCGGGGUUUGGCAGCCGCCAUUACGUUCCCCGGGGCCAGCCCUGGGGUCUUUAGCGUUGACACUACUGCCAUCUGCUGGUGUAACACCAUUAUAGCGACAGGGCUGCCAGACAAGGAAAACGGCCUUCUUGGAGUUUAACAGACUCUGGAGGAGAAAGUGGACUUUCUCAAAAGACAAGGACUUUGUUCAACUCUGCCACACGUAAAUGCGAUCCAGGUGCAAGUCAAGUCAUCACCCAGCGAAACCAUCCGAGAACCAACAAAAAAGUGACCUAGCACUGAUCUGAGCCUUGAAGUAAGUCAGGGAUUCCAAGAGAUGAAAAGGAGUGACGGAGGCAUUCCAGACAUAAGGAACAGCCUGUGCAAAGAUAUGGGAGCAGGAAUGAAAUAUCCUGUAUCAGUAGGCCAGUUUGGCCAGAACUUAGAGUACAUGAGAGGAAGCAACAUGAAAUUAGUGUUGGAAGAUAAGCAGGAGCCAAAUAGGGAAGGGUUUAAAAUGCUAAACAGCUUGGAGGGAGCCACAUAACCUUCCCUGGGCAUUCAUAUUGAUUCAUCUCUGUAGACAACUCCCCAUUUUUCUUCUUAUCAGAAUAAUUUCUUACUCAUAACAUGAUUCUUGAGAAUUUUCCAUCCCAAAUGAUCUGACUUGCCUUGAAAACUUGCGGAUCCUAUCCAUCCUUCCCCUGAACUCUUUGAAAUCUGCCCUCCCCUAAUGUCGGAUGCAUGACAUACUUUCUCUGGACUUCUCCAACACCUGGAAGAUGCAGUGGUUACUUUCUCCUCAAGUUGCCAUCAUUGCUCCCCUAGCAACCAGCUUCUCCUUAUUGGCUCACACAGCUCAUAAAAUACCUGGAAGGGGUGAACACUAUCCGGGAGGCUCAGCAGAUAUGAUCUGUGACCUGUGGGCCCACCCAGAAGGAGACACAUACGCUCCUAAGGUAAUGGAACACACUAAGAACCGUGUGGUAGGCGAUCUCGGUGCUGGGAUUCUAAGGGCAC